GCAAGUCGAGCGAGAAGGUAAUAAUUGAUUCUUCGGAAGAUUUUAUAACUGGACAGCGGCGGACGGGUGAGUAACGCGUGGGUAACCUGCCUUAUACUGGGGGAUAACGUUUUGAAAAGAACGCUAAUACCGCAUAAGCGCACAGCAUCGCAUGGUGCAGUGUGAAAAACUCCGGUGGUAUAAGAUGGACCCGCGUCAGAUUAGCUAGUUGGUGAGAUAAAAGCUCACCAAGGCGACGAUCUGUAGCCGACCUGAGAGGGUGAUC
This 265-nucleotide ribosomal RNA is filed under the name uncultured bacterium. RNAcentral describes it as "partial 16S ribosomal RNA". It matches the Rfam family "Bacterial small subunit ribosomal RNA", at positions 57 to 305 of the family's 1533-position model. The record is from RNAcentral.